UACGGAGGGUGCAAGCGUUGUCCGGAUUUAUUGGGUUUAAAGGGUGCGUAGGCGGCCGAUUAAGUCUGGGGUGAAAGCCCACUGCUCAACAGUGGAACUGCCCUGGAAACUGGUUGGCUUGAGUACAGACGAGGGUGGCGGAAUGGAUGGUGUAGCGGUGAAAUGCAUAGAUACCAUCCAGAACCCCGAUUGCGAAGGCAGCUGCCUAGGCUGUAACUGACGCUGAGGCACGAAAGCGUGGGGAGCGAACAGG
This 253-nucleotide ribosomal RNA is filed under the name uncultured bacterium. RNAcentral's name for it is "partial 16S ribosomal RNA". It matches the Rfam family "Bacterial small subunit ribosomal RNA", at positions 524 to 776 of the family's 1533-position model. The record is from RNAcentral.